Molecule: ribosomal RNA, 450 nt
Filed under: uncultured bacterium
Lineage: Bacteria
Description: partial 16S ribosomal RNA
Rfam family: Bacterial small subunit ribosomal RNA
Source: RNAcentral
AAUGAACGCUGGCGGCAUGCCUAACACAUGCAAGUCGAACGAAGGCUUCGGCCUUAGUGGCGCACGGGUGCGUAACGCGUGGGAAUCUGCCCUCAGGUUCGGAAUAACAGCGAGAAAUUGCUGCUAAUACCGGAUGAUAUCGCGAGAUCAAAGAUGUAAUCGCCUGAGGAUGAGCCCGCGUAGGAUUAGCUAGUUGGUGUGGUAAAGGCGCACCAAGGCGACGAUCCUUAGCUGGUCUGAGAGGAUGAUCAGCCACACUGGGACUGAGACACGGCCCAGACUCCUACGGGAGGCAGCAGUGGGGAAUAUUGGACAAUGGGCGAAAGCCUGAUCCAGCAAUGCCGUGUGAGUGAUGAAGGCCUUAGGGUUGUAAAGCUCUUUUACCCGGGAUGAUAAUGACAGUACCGGGAGAAUAAGCUCCGGCUAACUCCGUGCCAGCCGCCGCCGUAA